Molecule: ribosomal RNA, 252 nt
Filed under: uncultured bacterium
Lineage: Bacteria
Description: partial 16S ribosomal RNA
Rfam family: Bacterial small subunit ribosomal RNA
Source: RNAcentral
UACGUAGGUCCCGAGCGUUGUCCGGAUUUAUUGGGCGUAAAGCGAGCGCAGGUGGUUUAUUAAGUCUGGUGUAAAAGGCAGUGGCUCAACCACUGUAUGCAUUGGAAACUGGUAGACUUGAGUGCAGGAGAGGAGAGUGGAAUUCCAUGUGUAGCGGUGAAAUGCGUAGAUAUAUGGAGGAACACCGGUGGCAAAAGCGGCUCUCUGGCCUGUAACUGACACUGAGGCUCGAAAGCGUGGGGAGCAAACAGG